RNAcentral lists this transfer RNA (74 nucleotides) under Weissella ceti. RNAcentral's name for it is "tRNA-Ile". It matches the Rfam family "tRNA". Rfam says of the family: Transfer RNA (tRNA) molecules are approximately 80 nucleotides in length. Their secondary structure includes four short double-helical elements and three loops (D, anti-codon, and T loops). Further hydrogen bonds mediate the characteristic L-shaped molecular structure. tRNAs have two regions of fundamental functional importance: the anti-codon, which is responsible for specific mRNA codon recognition, and the 3' end, to which the tRNAs corresponding amino acid is attached (by aminoacyl-tRNA synthetases). tRNAs cope with the degeneracy of the genetic code in two manners: having more than one tRNA (with a specific anti-codon) for a particular amino acid; and 'wobble' base-pairing, i.e. permitting non-standard base-pairing at the 3rd anti-codon position. RNAcentral also lists the same sequence under 1 other name. The record is from RNAcentral. Lineage: Bacteria; Bacillati; Bacillota; Bacilli; Lactobacillales; Lactobacillaceae.
GAAUCAUUAGCUCAGUUGGUUAGAGCAGACGGCUCAUAACCGUCCGGUCGUCGGUUCGAGUCCGACAUGAUUCA